RNAcentral lists this non-coding RNA (28 nucleotides) under Rattus norvegicus (Norway rat). Lineage: Eukaryota; Metazoa; Chordata; Mammalia; Rodentia; Muridae. The record is from RNAcentral.
UGCAGUAACUGACAAAGAACACUCUGGG